RNAcentral lists this ribosomal RNA (442 nucleotides) under uncultured bacterium. RNAcentral's name for it is "partial 16S ribosomal RNA". It matches the Rfam family "Bacterial small subunit ribosomal RNA", at positions 338 to 795 of the family's 1533-position model. The record is from RNAcentral.
CCUACGGGGGGCAGCAGUGGGGAAUAUUGGGCAAUGGACGCAAGUCUGACCCAGCAACGCCGCGUGAAGGAAGAAGGCUUUCGGGUUGUAAACUUCUUUUAAGGGGGAAGAGCAGAAGACGGUACCCCUUGAAUAAGCCACGGCUAACUACGUGCCAGCAGCCGCGGUAAUACGGAGGUGGCAAGCGUGAUCCGGAAUUACUGCGUGUAAAGGGCGUGGAGGCGGGAAAACAAGUCAGAUGUGAAAUCCCGGGGCUUAACCGUGGAACUGCAUUUGACACUGUUUGUCUUGAGUAUCGGAGAGGUAGUCGGAAUUCCUAGUGUAGCGGUAAAAUGCGUAGAGAUUAAGAGGAAUACCAGUGGCGAAGGCGAAUUGCUAGACGACAACUGACGGUGAGGCGCGAAAGCGUGGGGAGCAAACAGGAUUAGAUACCCUAGUAGUC